This 464-nucleotide unclassified non-coding RNA is filed under the name Hevea brasiliensis (rubber tree). Lineage: Eukaryota; Viridiplantae; Streptophyta; Magnoliopsida; Malpighiales; Euphorbiaceae. The record is from RNAcentral.
GAAUGCUUGAGGGAAUUGUGAAGAGGUGAUGGGAGAUUAUGCAAUAAGGACGAUGGUUCUAUUACUCUGUAUCCUAUAAGUUAAUAGCUAGGGCCAAUCCAAUGCGCAAAAAGAAAACAUCAUCCAAGGGUGGCAUGAAGACAAUAGGGAAAACUCAGAAUAAGGAAAGCUAGCUUGAAGAAAAAGAGAGACAAUGGGAUUACGGCCAGAGAUUCAUGGUAGAGAUGACUUUGUUUUCACUUAGACAAAUGCAUUGCGCAGCUUUGCCCAUGCACUUGCUGUACAAGGUUCUGUUACAAAAGUAAUGUUCAAUGACUUUCAUUUUGUGGCGUUUGCCAUUUUUCCCCUUCAAUGCCCUUUCAAGAUGUGCAAAAUUCUGCCUUCCAUCUGUAAAAGUUUGUUCUUUUCUAUUUUCAUAUUUUGAGAUUAUUAUUAAUUUUAUUUGGUUGCAUUAAAAAUAAAAC